AUAAAAACAAAAGAGAAAAUGUAAGGGAGCCUUUUAUGUAGUAUACUGAAACUUGGUUUAAUAGACCUAAGUGUCACGGUUCGGAAGAAGGAAAUAAUAGAAGAAAAAAGAAAAUUUAUGCCCGAUGGACGAGUUUGGAAGAAGGGAAAUUUUUUUCUCUCUGUCUCUCUCUUUCUCUCGCGAUAGAAGUACGGAAUCGACAAAGGAAGAAGAUGGAAGCGAAGAAUAUGGAAUCAGAGGAGGUUGGGGUCGGAGGUGAUGCGUAUCGGAGGAGAUCGAAUCGACGGAGGAGAUUUCGCGAUUAGAUUCCUGGAUUGGUGAAUGACGAUUUUACUGAUGUGAGAGCUAUAAUGGCGAAUGCGGGUUCUUCAUUGAUGGGAAUAGCAACUGCGACAGGAAAGAGUCGGGCAAGAGAUGCUGCACUAAAUGCGAUCCAAUCACCUUUGUUAGAUAUUGGCAUUGAGAGAGCCACGAGUUUAGAUCCAGGGGACUCUAUUAUUAUCGCUAAAGCUUUCUCUCACAUGCUUAACUUAGCCAAUUUGGAUGAGGAAGUUCAGAUUGCUUAUCGCCGUAGGGUCAAGAAGCUGCAGAAAGGUGAUUUUGUUGAUGAGAGCUCUGCUACUACUGAAUCUGAUCUUGAUUCAAUUCUCUUCCUGGAUGGGUGGUGAUCGUCAUGCUAGAAUGAUGGCUUCUACUAUGUACUUUAACCAAAUUGAAGAUCUUAUGUUUGAGAUAUCUAUGUGGCGUUGCAAUGACGAGCUGCGUGUGCGAGCUGAUGAACUCUAAUCCGCCACAACUCAUCACUUGCCACACUUGCGCAAAAUGAGUUAUAAGUUUAAGCUGAUUCACAUUUUUUUUUUUUUGACAAUAGCUGAUUCACAUUUUAUUUGCGUAGAAUAGCACAGAAACAAGCGUAAACUGAAUAGAAUGAACCUCCCAUUGUGUAUGCCCUUAAAACUAAAUAAAAAGGAAGGAUCUUGGGAAUGUUA
Molecule: non-coding RNA, 989 nt
Organism: Camelina sativa (false flax)
Lineage: Eukaryota; Viridiplantae; Streptophyta; Magnoliopsida; Brassicales; Brassicaceae
Source: RefSeq, a predicted model, not a curated record